UACGUAGGGGGCAAGCGUUGUCCGGAUUUAUUGGGCGUAAAAGGCUUGUAGGUGGCCACGCCAAGUCGGAUGUGAAAUCUCCCGGCUCAACUGGGAGGGGUCAUUCGAUACUGGCGGGCUCGAGGCCGGUAGGGGGAAGUGGAAUUCCCGGUGUAGUGGUGGAAUGCGUAGAUAUCGGGAGGAACACCAGUGGCGAAGGCGGCUUCCUGGACCGGUUCUGAUACUGAGGAGCGAAAGCGUGGGGAGCGAUCCGG
Molecule: ribosomal RNA, 254 nt
Filed under: uncultured bacterium
Lineage: Bacteria
Description: partial 16S ribosomal RNA
Rfam family: Bacterial small subunit ribosomal RNA
Source: RNAcentral